Saimiri boliviensis boliviensis (Bolivian squirrel monkey) is the source of this 654-nucleotide non-coding RNA. The record is from RefSeq and is a predicted model, not a curated record. NCBI's taxonomy places the organism in Eukaryota, Metazoa, Chordata, Mammalia, Primates, Cebidae.
AGACUCCGUCUCAAAAAAUAAAUAAAAAUAAAACCUAUAAUCAAACAUGUGACUUUCAGGCACAUUUCCCAACCUCUACACUCAUUUGGAGUGGGAUCGUUCUCUGUUGUAGAGACUGUGUGCUGUAAGGUAUCUUCCAGCAUUCGUGGCCUCCUCCCCACUACCUGACUGGAUACCCCCUGCACACGCCACCCCCCACCCCAUUGGCAGCCAAAACUGACGCCUGCGGCGGGACCCAGCACCUAGCAGAGAAACAGCGCUCAGCGGAUGGUCAGAAAUGGUAGCGGGGAAACAGCGCUCAGCAGACGAUCGUUUCCCACCGUCUUGCCUCCUGUCUUCUGCUUUUGGUCUCUCUGGCCGCUGUGCACCUGUGGUUCUACCGCUGUGCCCACUUUCCGGAGAGGUAAUGAGACAGCGUGAGAGCUUGAAGCACAGGACAGAGGAGCAGAAUUCAGUGUCACACAUGCCUCUGCUGCCCGGGAGGAGAAGAGAUCGCGGGUCGGGGUAGGAUGUGAAUGAGAGGCAGAGGGGAGAAAACACGCGUGUCCACACGAGCACGUGCACACCCAUGUCCGGAGCGGCACGACUCACAGCCACAAAGCAGAGGCAACACAAGCAUCCAGCCACGAGAUGAAGUCCCGCUCUGUCACCCAG